AGCAGCCGCGGUAAUUCCAGCUCCAAUAGCGUAUAUUAAAGUUGUUGCAGUUAAAAAGCUCGUAGUUGAAUUUUGGAUUCUGCCAAUCGGUCCAUCUUUUAGAUGAGUACUGGUUGUGUGGGGUCUAUCCGCCUGGUGAUACGUAAUGUCCUUUAUUGGAUGUUGCGGGUAGUCAGGACCUUUACCUUGAAAAAAUUAGAGUGUUUAAAGCAGGCUUAUGCCGGAAUACAUUAGCAUGGAAUAAUAGAAUAGGACGAAGUUGUUUUAUUUUGUUGGUUUCUAGGACAACCGUAAUGAUUAAUAGGGAUAGUUGGGGGCAUUAGUAUUCAAUUGUCAGAGGUGAAAUUCUUGGAUUUAUUGAAGACUAACUACUGCGAAAGCAUUUGCCAAGGAUGUUUUCAUUAAUCAAGAACGAAAGUUAGGGGAUCGAAGACGAUCAGAUACCGUCGUAGUCUUAACCAUAAACUAUGCCGACUAGGGAUCGGGCGAUGUUGUUUCCAUGACUCGCUCGGCACCUUAUG
This 521-nucleotide ribosomal RNA is filed under the name uncultured Archaeosporaceae. Its description in RNAcentral is "SSU rRNA". It matches the Rfam family "Eukaryotic small subunit ribosomal RNA", at positions 569 to 1092 of the family's 1831-position model. Lineage: Eukaryota; Fungi; Glomeromycota; Glomeromycetes; Archaeosporales; Archaeosporaceae. The record is from RNAcentral.